AUUGAACGCUGGCGGCAUGCCUUACACAUGCAAGUCGAACGGCAGCACGGGAGCAAUCCUGGUGGCGAGUGGCGAACGGGUGAGUAAAGUAUCGGAACGUGCCCAGUCGUGGGGGAUAACGUAGCGAAAGUUACGCUAAUACCGCAUACGAUCUAUGGAUGAAAGCGGGGGAUCGCAAGACCUCGCGCGAUUGGAGCGGCCGAUAUCAGAUUAGGUAGUUGGUGGGGUAAAGGCCCACCAAGCCGACGAUCUGUAGCUGGUCUGAGAGGACGACCAGACACACUGGGACUGAGACCCGGCCCAGACUCCUACGGGAGGCAGCAGUGGGGAAGUUUGGACAAUGCGCGAAAGCCUGAUCCAGCCAUGCCGCGGGCAGGAUGAAGGCCUUCGGGUUGUAAACUGCUUUUGUACGGAACGAAAAGGACUGCCCUAAUACGGUGGUCCCAUGACGGUACCGUAAGAAUAAGCACCGGCUAACUACGUGCCAGCCGCCGCCGUAA
This 500-nucleotide ribosomal RNA is filed under the name uncultured bacterium. Its description in RNAcentral is "partial 16S ribosomal RNA". It matches the Rfam family "Bacterial small subunit ribosomal RNA", at positions 29 to 523 of the family's 1533-position model. The record is from RNAcentral.